GACGAACGCUGGCGGCGUGCCUAAUACAUGCAAGUUGAGCGCUGAAGGUUGGUACUUGUACCAACUGGAUGAGCAGCGAACGGGUGAGCAACGCGUGGGGAAUCUGCCUUUGAGCGGGGGACAACAUUUGGAAACGAAUGCUAAUACCGCAUAAAAACUUUAAACACAAGUUUUAAGUUUGAAAGAUGCAAUUGCAUCACUCAAAGAUGAUCCCGCGUUGUAUUAGCUAGUUGGUGAGGUAAAGGCUCACCAAGGCGAUGAUACAUAGCCGACCUGAGAGGGUGAUCGGCCACAUUGGGACUGAGACACGGCCCAAACUCCUACGGGAGGCAGCAGUAGGGAAUCUUCGGCAAUGGACGAAAGUCUGACCGAGCAACGCCGCGUGAGUGAAGAAGGUUUUCGGAUCGUAAAACUCUGUUGGUAGAGAAGAACGUUGGUGAGAGUGGAAAGCUCAUCAAGUGACGGUAACUACCCAGAAAGGGACAGCUAACUACGUG
Molecule: ribosomal RNA, 497 nt
Filed under: uncultured bacterium
Lineage: Bacteria
Description: partial 16S ribosomal RNA
Rfam family: Bacterial small subunit ribosomal RNA
Source: RNAcentral